CACAAAGAGACAUCAAAGCUUACAUCAAAGGACACAGAUUUUUAGCCUACUUGACUGAUAAGGCCGUUACCUAGACUACAGUUUGUUUGUCAGGGAGGAGCUCACAUACAACUUCAUCUAAUUCAUCAUAACGAUUCGUUACCGUUGUUGUAAUUUCUACAACAGAUUGCCAAGGAAAGAGAUAGACUAGUAGGUCUAAUUAAUACUCACUUCUGUCCAUUUAUCAGCUGCUGCUAGAUGUCUCUGCAAUUUUUCUCUCACUGUCUCUAGGAGUCUAGCUCUAUAGGCUACAAGAUCUGGUUGACUCUGACGCAGGUUGUUGACUUCUUCUACAAUGUUAUAAGAAUACACAUGUAAAAAGGAGGAUAUGCACCUCUAAAACGGCUACUAAAUAGUUGUCUGUGUCAUCAUUACUUUACGAGCUCGAGAUUCAGGUUCUAUCAUUGAUUCACUUACUCGAACUCGUUUAUGUAUGCACACACAGAUGUACCUGUGUCUAUGUCAUCAUUACUGUACUGAUUGAGCUCGAGAGAUUGAGGUUCCUUGUCACACUACUUGAGAAUAUGUACAUAUAAUAUAAAUUGGAAUGCUCAUGCCAUCAAUGAUUUCAACCCAUCAUGACUAGAAGGUGUUUUACAAUAAUAAUUAUUGUCGUUUACAUUGGUUGGUCUAAUUACAGCAUCGUGGACACACCUAUACUUUAGAAUUUGGCAGUUAAUUUACUGGCUGUGGACAUGGCUGGUCUGUGGACAGUACGAACAGUUGAACAACACAUUAUAUUGGUAAGAAAAAUUUUCUUUGCAACGAUAUUCACAUGUCUUCUUUAUACACACAGUGACAGAGGACAUGGCUGGUAGUACAAACAGUCGAGCAAACGUGACACACUCGAGCAGCACAAGCACUAGAAGAAACAUUCCUAUUAGUGUUGUAAACUGUCGAACUGUCUGGCUGUUUGUUUCUUAAAAAUUGUUAACACUUUGUUGAAUUAUUAAUGCCAAA
Molecule: long non-coding RNA, 999 nt
Organism: Halichondria panicea
Lineage: Eukaryota; Metazoa; Porifera; Demospongiae; Suberitida; Halichondriidae
Exons: 7
Source: RefSeq, a predicted model, not a curated record